RNAcentral lists this ribosomal RNA (3194 nucleotides) under Triticum aestivum (bread wheat). RNAcentral describes it as "partial small subunit ribosomal RNA". Lineage: Eukaryota; Viridiplantae; Streptophyta; Magnoliopsida; Poales; Poaceae. The record is from RNAcentral.
CCUCUCUUCAUUCACCCAUCCAUUUAAUUCCAAAGCGUGUUGCCGCAAAAUUUACAUCCAAAAGCGCAUUUGUAUUUGCUAUAAAACUACACAAAUCAUCCCAUUUUCGAUAAUAUAUGCGUUCAAAUUGCAAUGGUCAACAUGCUUGGUUCCGCCAGCAAGUUGUGCCUUGACAUCUUUAUUUUUAAAAAAUCCAUGCAUUAGCUUCGUUGGCCAUCCAUGCAUUAGCCGGCACUGCCUUUGGAAACGCCACCUCUUCUAGCUCCACACCUUAGGGAGUCUCAUGUUCGACAACACAUGUAUCUUAGGGCCUGCACACGAAAAAAGAACCAUGAGGAAUUGCCGUGAAUUGUUGAAAGCUCCAUAUGCAAUAUGGUUGUAUCAUGUUCAUAUGAGAUAACACGAUGUUGAAUUUACUUGAAAGACAAUAUUAAUUGUAACUGUAGAUUAAACUAAACUUGAACCAGAACCAUAAAAUAGGUGUGCGUGCCUCAAAAGCCCGAGAAGACAACCAUGUGGUUGCAAUGUGCAAUAUCAACAGUACAUCCAUACUGUAGUUCAGCAAUGAUGUUGCCCAUUACUAAUUCUUUCCAAAUCUAGAUUAGGAAAAAAAUCAAGCUAUCUAAGCGACUGAUAUAUGGGUCCAUAGAUCUAGUCAUUAUUGUCCAUAUGAGCAAAUCAGGCAUUACGACAGAAGCACACUGUAGGAGGCAAAUUAUUUAGUAAACACGGCAUGGGUUUAACAGCAGGAUUAUCAUCCGAGGAAUUAAAGCAAGUUUUCAAUGGGAUAAAAGCAUAUAAACCUUACACAUUAUCAAAAUUUACAUGCAAAGAUUAAAAUUGAUAUGUGAACUGAAAUCUUGGAGAGCACAAAUAUAUCAACAUGAGUAAUGGAAUAAAGGUACUAUUCUGUUGUGCAAAUGGAAACAUUAGAGAAAAUUAAUUGCUCAUGUGCGAUAGAGAGAAGUGUUAAGUACAUAGGAGUUUAGGAAUAUAACAUCAUCAAGGAGAUAGAAGGAGCGUGUUGAAGUAAUGGAAAUUUGUCAUGAAAAAGUUAUCUCUUUAAGGCAAGCACAUUCUGGGGUACUUAUGUCACCAUUUGGAAAGGCGGGGACAUGAGCGUCUCGUUCCAUCCACGCUGGAAGUCCCAUGAGUCCCAGUUGACCUGCACUCACCAAGUAGUAUGCACAUGUCCAGUCUCUCUUGCAGAACUCAACCUUCUCCUGUAACAUGAACAUAACUAUGCUGGAGGUCAUCAACAACAACGACCAGCAGCAUCGGUGCAGCACGAGCUAGGUAAUGACCAUGGACAUGUUGACCCACUGUCCGCACAGUUUCCUGACAGCGCACAUGCCUGCAUGUAAUCUAGCAUGAGGGUGCCAAGCAACGAAUUAAAGCUAUUGUGUCACCAAAGGAGCAACCAGAAACUAUAACUGCUCAUGGCAGAGCAGCAAGCAUAAUAGUGUUUACAAAUUACAAAGAUAUAUAAUAGCAAGAGGAAGCAGGAAUUUUUAGUCUGAUCUCUCUUACAUUUCCUGCUUAAUAAAAAGAAGCAAAUGUAACCCAAUAUGUUUAAUUGGUAACUGAAAGUAGGCAUCAUAGGUUAAUUAUCAACAUAGAUUCAUGCAUAAUCGAAACAUAAUUUGAGCAGAUAAAACAUGAUGUCACACUUUGUGUUGGAAAUAGACUUAAAUCUGUAGCUUGUAAUAUUCAUCAUCAAAACUAUGGGCAUGGCUCUAUGAAGAAUAUGCUCAAAAACGUGUGAUUGUCUUGGCCAAAUUAAACAAACUGCAUGGAUACGUACCAAUGAUUUUUUUAUAAUCAGUACCUGGCUAACUGCACUCUAUGCAAUGGAGAAACAUCGCAGUGCAGUACUACACAUGUAGGGAACUGUGAAAGAAACAGAGCAUGUGAUUCUGAAUCAAACUUGCAUCUCGUUUUCUGCUCCAAAAAUCACCAAAAGCACACCAGAUGAAAUACCUGGCAGCAAUGUUUUGCCGAUUAGACCAUACCAACUCCACGAACAUCCAAUUCAAUUGGGGUUUCAGGGGCUGCAUGGAGUACCCCGGGCCUCCUUGAAGCACAUCCUGAAGGAGAAGUUCGUGGAAGCACGGAUGGUGAUCUAGAAGGUUCAGUUCCGCCAAGUGCUCAAGAAAAAUAAUCUAGAACUGUGAGAACCCCAAGAACUGAAGCAUUGCAAGCCCAGAUUUUGACCCGGAGUUAAUGUCAAAAUCACUUGGUGCUUAUUUUGUUGUCUUAGGUGCACUUGUAAGCUGUAACGGAUGUACACUACAAAACUGAAAUAGAUCAAGCCGGCCUUUGUGUGCCGGCUGGUUCUGUAUCUUACCUUGUCCUAUGACUCAUCAAUGGAGAUCUUAGUUACAAUUCAAAGGCCUAGACAGGAAACAUGCAGAAAUUACGAACCUGAUAUUGAUACACCAUGUAGUAGAUUGGAUACUGCUAUUUGAACCCAAACAUGGUCGAGUACUUCAAUUCACAAAAAUCUCUUGCCAGGCUGAGGGCUUCCAAUCGGGAUGGUGAUAGCAGCAGGUGCGCAAGUAAUGAAACAGAUGACUCAUGUGGGAGGAGAGACCAAUUGCAGACGGCAUAGAGGUCCUAGGGGAGCAGCGCAUACUCGAAGGGGAUGGCCAUAGAGCGCGUCUGCCGGGAGGGAGUAGUAGGUGGCGGCGCUGUCGCCGAGGAUGCGUAGUGUGUAGCAGCGUACGUGGAGGUCGGCGAGGACAGGGGAGGUGGUGGGCGGCGGGACUGCUGCAUCAGAGCCUCGGAUGGGGAAGCAGGAGAGUCCUCGCGGACUCCGGGGACGGACGGCACCGGCGGCGUACUUGCCGACGUCGGUGUCGAAGGAGAAGGGGGAGGGGGAGCAGGAGACGGCGGUGAGAAGGGAGAUGUGCUGGGCGUCGAGUCUGCUGCACCGGAGGAGUAGGCAGGAGAUGCAUUGCAGACUUGGCGGACGGAUGGCGCCGGCGGUGUACUUGACGAUGUCGGCAUCGUAGAAGACGGGGUAAGGGGAGGAAGGAAGGUGGAGGUGGGUGUGGGUGUGGCGGUGUGCGGCGAGGCUGCCGUGGUAGAGAGGAGUCGGGAGCGGAGGGCGCCGGUGGCGUGCAGAGCGGCAGCCGCUGCUGCUGCCACUUCGAUUCCACUUUUUUCCAGAAGAGUCGAUUGCUUCGUUGAGU